UAAAUAAAAAAAAAAAAAAAAAAAAAAAAAAAAAAAGAAGGGCCAAGAUACAAAAGACAAGAAAUAACAAGUGUUGGUGAGGAUGUGGAGAAAAGGCAAUGCUAGCACAUUGUUGGUGGGAAUGUAGAUGGUGCACCCACUGUGGAAAACAGUAUGGUGUUUUCUCAAAAAAUUAAAAACAGAAAUAUCAUAUGACCCAGUAAUUCCACCACCACCCAGUAUUUACCCAAAGGAAAUGAAGACACGAAUUCGAAAAGAUAUAUACACCCCCCUUUGUUUAUUGCAGCAUUGUGUAUAAUAGCCAAGAUGUGGCAGCAAACCCAAGUGUCUAUGAGUAGAUGAAUGGAUAAAGAGGAUGUGAUGUAUAUACAUGAUGGAAUAUUACUAAGCCAUGAAAAGGAAUGAGAUCUUGCCAUUUGCAAUCACAUGGAUGGACCCAGGGGGGUUACGCUAAGUGACAGAGGUCAGACAGAGACAGAAAAACGUCAUAUGAUUUCACUGAUAUGUGGAACCAAAAACCAAAACAAUUGAAACGGACUCAUAAAUACAGAAAACAAACUGGUGGUUGCCAGAGAGGUUGAGGGGUGGAGUGAAAUAGGUGAAGAAGAUUAAGAGGUACAAACUUUGAACUAUAAGAUAAAUAAGUCACAGGGGGGAAAAGCACAGGACAGGGAUUAGAGUCAAUAAUAUUGUAAUAACUUAGUCUGGUGACAGGUGGUGACUAUGCUUAUCAUAGGGAACACUGCGUCACGUAUAGAAUUGUUGGCUUACUGUGUUGCACACCUAAAACUAACAUGAAACUCUACUUCGAUUUAAAAAGUAUGGCAACAUACAGAAAUAGAACCUGGAUGCUUGGUCAAUCAUACGGAGCCACUGAGGCACAGGGCCCGGGACCCACGAUAGUUUUAAUUUCAGAAUCAGAAGAAAAGUAAGUAUAAUGAUAACAAUUAAUAUAUAAUAAUGAGUCCAGCUGGCGUUACAAUUCAUCGUUAUGCCAAUGCAGUCAUAAAAUAUAAUUUUUAAUAUUUUUAUGGUCGAAGGACCAACUACGGCAAAAGUGCAAGCAGCCUACAAAAGUCAUAAUGGGGACCAGCAGUUACCUCAUUAUACUACAAUGGUCAGGAACCUACAGUUUGGAUGCUCUGUUGGAUUUGGAAAAGAUUUUCUUGGGGCAUCUGGCUGGCUCUGUACGCAGAGCAUGCAACCCUUGAUCUCGGGGUUAUGAGUUCCAGCCCCACGCUGGGCAGAGAGAUGACUUAAAAAGGUUUUCUUCGGGGCCCCUGGGUGGCUCGGUCGGUUAAGCGUCCGACUUCGGCUCAGGUCACGAUCUCGCGGUCUGUGAGUUCGAGCCCCGCGUUGGGCUCUGUGCUGAUGGCUCAGAGCCUGGAGCCUGUUUCAGAUUCUGUGUCUCCCUCUCUCUCUCUCUCCCCCUCCCCUGUUCAUGCUCUGUCUCUCUCUGUCUCAAAAAAAAANNNNNNNNNNNNNNNNNNNUUAAAAAAAAAAAAAAAGGUUUUCUUCGUUUUUUUUUUUUUUCCUUUUUGUGCUUUCCGUGAUGGAACUAAUAAAAAUUCUCUUAGAAAUUUCAGCAUGACGCAUUACGGUAAGAGGCAGAAGGGAAGAAAACUGGGUUUUGUGCUUUUAUGGAGAACACCUUUAAGAAGCUUUGGGUUCUGCUUUUGGUUCACCACUAUUCGUGAUCCUUGAAUAAGUUCUCUCAGCGUCUGGCAUUUAGUUCUCUCAUCUGUAAACAGUGACCUAUAAGACCUCGACCCUGUGGGUACUGAUGUGGGCUUUCCCUCUUACAGACUGUAAUUUCAACAAGUCAUUUAACCUCAUUGUGGCUCAAGUUUCAUAUAUAUAUAUAUAUAUAUAUAUAUAUAUAUGAAUCCUUCCUCUAAGCAUUGGUUUUUUUUGUUUUGUUUUGUUUUUUUAAUUUUUUUUCAACGUUUAUUCAUUUUUGGGACAGAGAGAGACAGAGCAUGAACGGGGGAGGGGCAGAGAGAGAGGGAGACACAGAAUCGGAAACAGGCUCCAGGCUCUGAGCCAUCAGCCCAGAGCCUGACGCGGGGCUCGAACUCAAGGACCGCGAGAUCGUGACCUGGCUGAAGUCGGACGUUUAACCGACUGCGCCACCCAGGCGCCCCUCUAAGCAUUGUUUUAAGAGUCAAAUAAGCCUCACUACAAGUCCUAAUCGUUGGGCGUAAGGAUCACGGGUGCCCCUGGACAUACUGCAGGGCAUCCAGUAACUCACCCCUUGCCUUUCCACUCAACGAAGGACACCGAAAUUCAGGUCAAUGAGAACCUCACUCAGGGAUGAUCUUGAAUGCACCUUAAUCUACCCUAAAACAGGAGACCAAGUUUCCCAGAUAUUGUUAUCAUUAGGAACUUAGAGCUCCCUCCCCAGUGUCUGGUCUGUGCUUCUGCAUCCAAAUCAGUUCUCCCAAGGGAGUCUGGGGGAAGGGGACAGUACGCUCCCCACUUGUCCCCUAACGGGAACUUGUCAAGGAUGGACCCGGGCCUGAUGACCUACCUCAGAGUGUGCUCUUUCCAGACUGAGGUCUCUGGGAAGGGAUGGGUUUGCUUGCAGUCGCUGCUUUCAGGCAAGGCGCUCUGACCUCAGUGCCUUCGUGUGAGUGAGGUUUCAAAGGGUUUCCCAGAGGUUGUUGGGGUUGGCUCCACAGGGUUUCUCAGGCCCUUCCCAAGACCCAAAGCAGGCGAAUAAUUGGUGACAAGGGCAGGGACAUGGGUUUAUUUUACGGUUCUCUGUCUCGGCAGGGCCAGCAACCUCUGGAGCCCCGAAGGAGCUGGUUGGUAACCUUGGUGGGUCUGUGACUUUCCCUCUGAAGCUCCCAGGAAUUCAGAUAGACACUAGCGUCUGGACGUUAAACACAACCCCUCUCGUCACCAUAGAGCCAAAAAUGCCAGACAGACAAGCCAACGUCAUAGUGACCCACAGUCGCAACAAGGAAAGGGUGAAGUUUUUACAAGGAAACUACUCCCUGAAGCUCAGCAAACUGAGUAAGAAUGACUCUGGUGACUACCGCAUGGUGAUAUACAGCUCUUCCCUCAAAGACUCCUUCAGCCAGGAGUAUAGGCUGCGUGUCUAUGGUGAGCAGACUCGGUUCCCAGAGUGGAUGACUGUUUUCAUAAAGUGGUAAACUCUGAUAUUGGAGCUGUCCAAGCAAAGGUUGGAUGAACCCUUAGCAAGAAUGUGGAAGAGGGAACUCUUGUAUGGAUGAAGUGAAUGUAGUUGACCCCUAAGGUCCCUUCCUGUUCGGAGACUGCGAGAGGCAAUGCAGUAUAGACAAUGGAUGAUGUGGGACACAGCGACCACACAAGCCAAAUGCUGGCUGCUCUACCUACUAACUGCAUAGCCUUCGCCAGGUUACUUAAGCUCUGUGAAACUCCGUUUCCGUGUCUGUAAUGAGGAAGAAAGUGGUCCCUAUCUUAGAAAGACUUUUGUGUAUAAACAUCAAUUACACCUUCUCCCCUACCAACGCCAAUCAACUGAGAAAUGGACACAAGAAUCAGGAGGAAGAUAAAAACAUCAGUUAUUUUUUCUGGCGAAGCUAGAUAGGAGAAAUAUUUUCCCCCAACUCUAGAUCACUCAGGGAAGAUGAACUUACAAAACAAUGACUCAAGCAGCUGUAAGAGUAGUUGUCUCACUCACUGAGCUACAGUACAAGGGAUGCCAGGAGAUGGGCCUCCAAGUUUGCCCUUAAGAUGUAGGCUAUGGACCUUGAGCCAGGUGGCCCUCCAUAUAGACAUAAUUGAGGGGAUCAGGGGGACACGCGUUAUGUGGCCAGACUGGCUGGGGGAGGGGGAAAAGGUCAAACCACAUCUAAACAGAAAUCGUCACAGCACAAAGUAGACAGAUGUAGUAGAGAAAUGUAGAGGGUGGAUGUCAGGCUCUCACCAUCUCAUCAACGAGCAAAUUGCUCAUUCUCUAGGGGAGAACAGCGAGCAGAAGAGAGAGAGGGGGGGACCAGAGGUAUUAUUCCCACACUAUUCUCUCCCGGAGAGUAAAGCGAAAGUCGCUUCAAGGAAGCCUGAGGACAGAAGAAUGGGGAGCCUCUGGAAAAGAUAAAAUUAGCUCCCAUCUACGAUGCAUCUAGCACAAGGCUGGCCGUAUAGCUGUGCGUUGAAAAUGGCAGCUGCUCUCUUGUUGUAUUAUUAUUAUUUCUACUGCUAUUGGUGCUUUUAGGUAGCUGUGGGAAAGCAGACCUAGGUAGCUCUUUCCCAGAUAAGAAUAAGAAUUCUUCCCUGAACUGCUGCUCCCUCUCUGCUCUGUAGCACCGCAGAGAUUCAGUCCCAGAUCUACAAGAAUAAUUCAGAAAAGGCAUAGUUUCCACCCUUGGUGGUCUGUUUCUCUUUUGCAGAACGCCUAUCAAAGCCCAAAGUUACCAUGGGUCUGCAGAACAAUAAGAAUGGCACCUGUCUCACCAACCUGACAUGCUUCAUGGACCAGGGAGGAGAGGAUGUGACCUACAGCUGGGAGUCCCUGGGGCAGGCAGCCAAUGAGUCCCAUAAUGGCUCCAUCCUCCCCAUAUCCUGGAGGCUGGGAGAAAGGGACACGAUCUUCAUCUGUGUGGUCCGGAACCCCAUCAGCAGCAACUCUUCAAACCCCAUCUUUGCCAGGAAGCUCUGUGAAGGUGACUCUCUCUCCUCUCUCUCUCUCCAGGGGCCUCUGGUCUUAGGACCUAGACCUUCUUCAGUCCCUGGUCCCCUUGGGAACAGCCCAUGAAAACUGGAGACCCCCGGGAACUCAGCAGACUGGGAGGGAGGUGGCACUUGCCUCAGGAGCUGUGUCAUUUUCCCUAUCUGACUCUUCCCCCUUCCCUGUGCCCCCACCUACUCUAUCUUUAAGGGUGCGGCUGCUGACUCAGAAUCCUCCAUGAUUCUGGCUUCCCUGGGGGUGCUGUUGCUGAUCACUGCCUUUGCACUCAUGCCAGUUCUUCUGAUUAUGCAGAGAGAAAAAAGAAAAGGUAGAGCAUACACUAUUUUUGCCUUCAGCCUCAUCCGUGCACGUGCCCCCUCGUUUAUUCAACAAACAUACGUUGAGCUGUGUGCCAGGCUCAAUACUAGGCACUAAGGAUACAAAAAUGAAGAAGCCAUACUCUGUGUCCUCAAGGAGAACGCAACCAACCCUCACUUCUUAGUUCUGGAGUAAGAGAGUGCUGGAGUCCUUAACCCCUCCCCUAAGACCGAACUCCUCCCAGUUCCCUCCCCAGCCCCACCCCUCCCCUUCCCCCAAAGGGACUUACUGGCGUGACUCUCCUGAAGACACAAACCCCACACUGCUGACUCCGCUCCCCUGACGCGGGAGGUGACAGCCUCCAACUCUGAGGUCCCAUAGAGCCGCACACCCUACUCACCCCUUCCAAUCCCCACCCUUGUCAGAGGCCCCAACCCAGUCCUGGCCCUCGUCACCGGACCAACUCCAGAGACCUCUCUUUACUCUGUACCUCAGUCUAGAUGCAUUCCUCCUGGAGAAGUCUGUCUCUGCCUCUUCCCGUGCCACGUCCCAGGCUCCGCAUCCCUAAACCCUGCUUUUUUGUUUUCUCAGGUUCCCACUGAUACUGUGUGUGUGGGGUGUUGGGGAGGGACCUAAGUCUCAGUUGUGUAUAAAUCGCAAAUGUUAAAAUCUCCCUUCCCUCUUGAAAGAGCUCUGAAGGCAUUUCUGACUCGCUCCGCUUCCCCUUUGUCUGACUUGGUCCAAAAAUUGGAAAGUGAAGUGCUGAGAGUAACCAGUUCAUCGUGGGAUCUCCUUGAGUGUAGCACUGAGAGUCCCACGUCCUGAAACACCCUUCAGCUGUAGGGACUGAGCAUGNNNNNNNNNNNNNNNNNNNNNNNNNNNNNNNNNNNNNNNNNNNNNNNNNNNNNNNNNNNNNNNNNNNNNNNNNNNNNNNNNNNNNNNNNNNNNNNNNNNNNNNNNNNNNNNNNNNNNNNNNNNNNNNNNNNNNNNNNNNNNNNNNNNNNNNNNNNNNNNNNNNNNNNNNNNNNNNNNNNNNNNNNNNNNNNNNNNNNNNNNNNNNNNNNUUUCUCUCUUUCCUGGAGGCUGAUCUUAUUCUCUAAGGCCCUUUUUGCUUUAGUUGAAAUUUCUGCAUGGACUUGGGUAACAUGGGUAUGAGGAUGUAUAGUCCUUGAAACCCCAUGUCUCUCCCCAAGUCCUUAUGAAUUCUGUCUUGUGCAGGAUUUGGUGGCCUCUGUUUCUGCCCCANCCCUGAUUCUCUCCCGUCUCACUUUCAGAGUCCAUUGAAGAGAGGAAGGGAAUGGACACUCAUCAGGAAAUUCCUAACCACUACCCCCCGUCUGGAGAGACCCCAGUUUACGACACAAUCACUUGCGUUGAUGUGAGUCCUUUUUCUGUCUUUCCUGGAGGCUGAUCUUAUUCUCUAAGGCCCUUCUUGCUUUAGUUGAAAUUUCUGCAUGGACUUGGGUAACAUGGGUAUGAGGAUGUAUAGUCCUUGAAACCCCAUGUGUCUCCCCAAGUCCUUAUGAAUUCUGUCUUGUGCAGGAUUUGGUGGCCUCUGUUUCUGACCCAGCCAGUGAUGCUCACCAUGUGAUCCAUGGCAUCUUCCCUUCCCUCCACAGUUCACAAGGGCCACUCAACAGGCCCGAUUUCUUUUUCAAAGGACGGCAGGUAGAAAAGCGUGACUCUGGCCUGAUGUUUAAGUUAUAAUGUAGUUCUGUCGUUUUGACCCAUCAGUGAUCCUCACAUAUCUGCUCCAAGGACCCUUCAGGCAAAUGGAAAAUUUUACUUGCAACUUUAACAAUAUUACUUCCCAUUAUACUUCCAUCACCUUAGGCUGCUCAUAGCUCACAGGACUUCUAUAUCUUACACAGUUUAAAACUAAAUACAACACAGUUUAAAAAACAGGCAAUGUCUUCUAAAAAAAAAGUUAUUAAUAAUUAUAAUAACACUCACCAGCAAGAGCUUCUCCUUUCCCCAUUCCUGGUCCAGAACCUCUCUUCCUUCUUGCCCCUUCUCCCAUCUCUGCUUUCCCUUCUCUAGACUCUGGGUGUCUCUUUGGCCUUGUCGAGCUGACUCUAUGAUUUCUUUUUUUUUUUUUUUUAAUAGAAAACUAUUCCAGAGGAAAAUCCAGAAAAAACACUUUACUUCUCAGUGCAAAUACCUCAAAAGGUAAGAAGCUUUAGAGCUGAGAUUCACCUUACUUGUCUCAUCCUUUUUCCUGGUUCAAGCUUAGCGAAAUAUGUCUUGGGCCCCAAAGAUCUUGUAUUCUCUGAUAUUAAACGUUUCCCCGGUAUGUUCCCAUUCUCUUUGCUGAGGGAUACCCAAGAAUAAACAGAAUAAAUGAGAAUUAUGUUUUAGGAGUUGAAUGGGGUAAUAUGGAACAAAUAGAAAGGGAGAGAAGAAGUUCUAGGGAAAAUCAGCAGGAUCCCGAAGAUUUGGGUUGAGAAAAGUCCAGGGGUGGGGUCAUGCCUCAGAGGGCUGGAGAGGCAAUGCCCGCUUGCCGCAGAGCCAACAGUAAGCCGGAGGUGGGAGAAAUUUCUGCUGCUUUCCUUUGGUCUAGCUAUGUUGCAUCGUGUUCGCACCCUCUCCCUAGUCAAACUACUAACGUGCUAAGCUUUAAAGCUUAACCCUUCACAGAUCAUGCUUCGCAGAAGUAGUGAUACUGUCCUGUCUCUCCUCCCAACCAGAUCAGAAAAGAUGAGGAUGGGCCAAGCACUUUGCUUAGUUAGCACUUUACUUAGGAAAGCCAUAGGAUUAUCGGAAGUAAAGUGCAGCUCAUUAAGCAUUCAACAAGAUAAAUGUGGUUGGAACUUAAGUAAUAAUUGGGUGACCCUGGCUAGGAAGAGUGUCUGGGAUGGUGGGGUCUUCUGGUGGGAUCCAGAGCCCUCCCACCUCUACCUCUGAUCUUUAUAUCUGCCUAACAGAUGGAGGAGCCCCACUCUACACCCAUAUCCCCAGACACACCAACGUUAUUCACCUAUGAGAUCGUCAACUAAACAGCAGUGCAUUGUUUCUGCCUCAUGAAGAUGGCGAAGAAGGAAGCCCCUGCCCCUCCCAAAGCCAAAGCCAAAGCAAAGGCUUUGAAGGCCAAGAAAGCAGUGCUGAAAGGUGUCCACAGUCAUAAAGAAAGAAGAAGAAGAAGAUCUGCACGUCACCUACAUUCCGGCGGCCCAAAACACUGCGUCUCCAAAGGCAGCCCAAAUAUCCUGGGAAGGGCAGCCUCCGGAGAAACAAGCUUGACCGCGAUGCCAUCACCAAGCUCCCCCUGACUACCGAGUCAGCCGUGAAGAAGAAGAUGGAAGACACAACACACUUGUUUCAUCGUGGGUGCCAAGGCCAACACGCACCAGAUCAGACAGGCCGUGAAGAAGCUCUACGAUAUUGGCGUGGCCAAGGUCAACACUCUGAUCAGGCCUGAUGGAGAAAAGGAAACAUACGUUCGACUGGCUCCCGACUAUGAUGUUUUGGAUGUUGCCAACAAAAUUGGGAUCAUCUAAACUGAGUCCAGCUGGCUAAAUCUAAAUAUAAAAUUUUUCACCAUAAAGAAAAAAAAAGAAAGAAAAUGGU
Molecule: long non-coding RNA, 8542 nt
Filed under: Lynx pardinus (Iberian lynx)
Lineage: Eukaryota; Metazoa; Chordata; Mammalia; Carnivora; Felidae
Source: RNAcentral